RNAcentral lists this transfer RNA (73 nucleotides) under Spirochaeta africana DSM 8902. Its description in RNAcentral is "tRNA-Val (TAC) (tRNA-Val-TAC-1-1)". It matches the Rfam family "tRNA". From Rfam's summary of the family: Transfer RNA (tRNA) molecules are approximately 80 nucleotides in length. Their secondary structure includes four short double-helical elements and three loops (D, anti-codon, and T loops). Lineage: Bacteria; Pseudomonadati; Spirochaetota; Spirochaetia; Spirochaetales; Spirochaetaceae. The record is from Rfam by way of RNAcentral.
GGGCGGUUAGCUCAGUUGGGAGAGCGCCUGCCUUACAAGCAGGAUGUCGGGGGUUCAAGUCCCUCACCGCCCA